RNAcentral lists this non-coding RNA (943 nucleotides) under Congrogadus subducens (carpet eel blenny). Its description in RNAcentral is "12S ribosomal RNA". It matches the Rfam family "Bacterial small subunit ribosomal RNA". Lineage: Eukaryota; Metazoa; Chordata; Actinopteri; Pseudochromidae. The record is from RNAcentral.
CAAAAGUUUGGUCCUAACUUUACUAUCAGCUUUACCUCAACUUAUACAUGCAAGUAUCUGCGCCCCAGUGAGAAUGCCCACAACCUUCUUAUGUAGGUUGGGAGCGGGUAUCAGGCACACCCACGUAGCCCACGACACCUUGUUUAGCCACACCCCCAAGGGAAUCCAGCAGUAAUAAAUAUUAAACAAUAAGCGAAAGCUUGAUUUAGUUAGAGCUAAGAGAGCCGGUAAAUCUUGUGCCAGCCACCGCGGUUAUACAAGAGACUCAAGUUGAUAGUACCCGGCGUAAAGGGUGGUUAAGAAAAUAAUAAACUAAAGCCAAAUGCCCGCAAGACUGUUAUACGUACACGAGGGUAAGAAGUCCAAUCACGAAAGUAGCUUUAUCGCCUCUGACCCCACGAAAGCUGUGAAACAAACUGGGAUUAGAUACCCCACUAUGCUCAGCCUUAAACUUUGAUAGCCUACUACACUCGCUAUUCGCCUGAGAACUACAAGUGCAAACUUUAAACUCAAAGGACUUGGCGGUGCUCAACAUCCAUCUAGAGGAGCCUGUCCUAUAACCGAUACUCCCCGUUAAACCUCACCCCCUCUUGCAUUCCAGCCUAUAUACCGCCGUCGUCAGCUUACUUUGUGAAAAAUAAGCAGUGAGCAAAACUGGUAAAACCUAAAACGACAGGUCGAGGUGUAGCUUAUGAGGUGGGAAGAGAUGGGCUACAUUCCCUCACUUAGGGCAUACGAACAGUGUGUUGAAACACAUACUAGAAGGAGGAUUUAGUAGUAAGUAAAAAAUAGAGUGUCUUACUGAAACUGGCACUAGAGCGCGCACACACCGCCCGUCACUCUCCCCAAAAUCCUACACUAUAAUAACUAAUACGUUAAAUAUAAAAUUAGGGGAGACAAGUCGUAACAUGGUAAGUGUACCGGAAGGUGUACUUGGAUAAAA